This 253-nucleotide ribosomal RNA is filed under the name uncultured bacterium. RNAcentral describes it as "partial 16S ribosomal RNA". It matches the Rfam family "Bacterial small subunit ribosomal RNA", at positions 524 to 776 of the family's 1533-position model. The record is from RNAcentral.
UACGAAGGGGGCUAGCGUUGCUCGGAAUCACUGGGCGUAAAGGGUGCGUAGGCGGGUCUUUAAGUCAGGGGUGAAAUCCUGGAGCUCAACUCCAGAACUGCCUUUGAUACUGAAGAUCUUGAGUUCGGGAGAGGUGAGUGGAACUGCGAGUGUAGAGGUGAAAUUCGUAGAUAUUCGCAAGAACACCAGUGGCGAAGGCGGCUCACUGGCCCGAUACUGACGCUGAGGCGCGAAGGCGCGGGGAGCGAACGGG